Molecule: ribosomal RNA, 520 nt
Filed under: Chryseobacterium sp.
Lineage: Bacteria; Pseudomonadati; Bacteroidota; Flavobacteriia; Flavobacteriales; Weeksellaceae
Description: bacterial SSU rRNA
Rfam family: Bacterial small subunit ribosomal RNA
Source: RNAcentral
GUGUGCAACCUGCCUUUAUCAGGGGGAUAGCCUUUCGAAAGGAAGAUUAAUACCCCAUAAUAUAAUUGAUGGCAUCAUUGAUUAUUGAAAACUGAGGUGGAUAAAGAUGGGCACGCGCAAGAUUAGAUAGUUGGUGAGGUAACGGCUCACCAAGUCGAUGAUCUUUAGGGGGCCUGAGAGGGUGAUCCCCCACACUGGUACUGAGACACGGACCAGACUCCUACGGGAGGCAGCAGUGAGGAAUAUUGGACAAUGGGUUAGCGCCUGAUCCAGCCAUCCCGCGUGAAGGACGACGGCCCUAUGGGUUGUAAACUUCUUUUGUACAGGGAUAAACCUACCCUCGUGAGGGUAGCUGAAGGUACUGUACGAAUAAGCACCGGCUAACUCCGUGCCAGCAGCCGCGGUAAUACGGAGGGUGCAAGCGUUAUCCGGAUUUAUUGGGUUUAAAGGGUCCGUAGGCGGAUGUGUAAGUCAGUGGUGAAAUCUCACAGCUUAACUGUGAAACUGCCAUUGAUACUGC